Molecule: long non-coding RNA, 1567 nt
Filed under: Lathyrus oleraceus (garden pea)
Lineage: Eukaryota; Viridiplantae; Streptophyta; Magnoliopsida; Fabales; Fabaceae
Description: Pisum sativum (pea) long non-coding RNA (PSAT_LNC031492)
Source: RNAcentral
ACGGCUUUCUGACGGAUGCCUACUAUGAUGUGCUGUUAUGUGGCACUCAUAGUUGGGGAUGCGAGGAGCUAAUUUGCUCGAUCUAAUAAGCUAUGUGUAUUAGUAUGCAAAAAUAGGGAGGAAGGACAAAGGAAAGAGCGAUGCCUACAUUAAAUCAAUUGAUUCGUCAUGGGGAACCCAACCCUAGCUUGAGGCUUGCUUGUCUCAAUCAAUUUGAUUGCUUUAACUAGUCAUGCUAUGGAGAAUUCCCAUUGAGAGCCAACUGCUUCAUGCCCCAGAUCGCGGGGAUUCUUAUUGUGUGUGGUCAUAUUUCCUAUUCAUUGAGUAAAGGGCCGCGUUAGACCCGCCUUUCAUCGGAGCACAUCGCUUUCGCUCCUCAGUUUCUCAGUGGAAGAGGACCUUUCUCGAUCAACUAUCUUACUUGAAUGAAGAAAGAAGUAAACUUUCUAUACCAAAUUAUCUGAAUAGCCAAAUAAAGGAAUUUUUGGCUUGAUAGCCACUCCCCUGAAAAACUGCAAAGAAGACGAUUCGCUACUUCCGAAUCGCUGCAUCCAGCUCCUCCAGUCUCCUCUUUCGUUUGCUUUCUUUAUUAUUGCUUCUGUUGAAUGAAUAUAGGGCUCAGGCGAAGAAGGGUGAUCCCUAUCAAUAGACUUUUAUACCAGUUUGGCCUACAGCUCCCGUACCUAGCGAUAAAGUGUCUGGUUUCUCUUUCGAGCGUAUCCUGAUAGUGCGGUGCUGUUCCCUCUCUCGGCAUAGAGUCUAUCAGAGAGGGGCUUUUGUCUCGCCAACUCCGUCUGCUUUUGCUUCGAGUGCCCUUUCCCCUUCCAGUCUAGUACUUUUUUCAAUCUUUAUUUUUUGCUUAGAGUGAGGUUGUAAUCAUCAGUAGCAUUAUGCAUUCAUUGUUCUUAAAACUAACAAAAGGUCUUCAAAUAGUUCGUGGUAAUCUUCUUGAUAGAUAUAAUACUGCUUGACAGGAUAGAAGGCUUCCGCCAUGGUGGGUUCGCUAUGAGACUCCUAUUAGUAAUCCACCACAUAUGGAUGAGGUUCAUCGUGAUAUGUUGCGACAUUUCGGAAUUAACGGAACCCACCAGAUUAGGCAUAGAUCAGGUGCAGUCUAUACUAUACAUUUGGCCCAUUGAUUCCCCAUAGGAGUAUUCCUAUUCAAGGUGAACGCACUCCCUUGCAGCGAUUGCCAGCUCCAGGUCUAUCAGGUGUUUUAAGUAUCAGAGAAACUUCUAGAAUAAAGUCUUUUGGCCUUGGGGAAGCCUUACAAUAUUCUUACAUGAGAGACACUCGCUUCGUUGUUCUUACUUCUCUUCUACUCUUUUUCGGUCUAUGGUCUAUGUUGUCCCCUGCUCCAUUGUGCUUAAAAGCAGCAGCCCUAAUUUAUUUUCUCCCGAUAUAGGAUUUCUUUUAAAAGUAGCUAAAAAUAUCUAUAUAGAAGGGAUCUGUAGUAACCAUCCUCAGGUAAUAUCUCCCUGUGAUUGUGGGGAACCUCUUAAUUUAAUAGUAUCUUAGAACAUCUCUUAGAUACUCCUAAAGAAUCCGAAGAUUCCCCUCGUCUAGC